Molecule: non-coding RNA, 117 nt
Filed under: Homo sapiens (human)
Lineage: Eukaryota; Metazoa; Chordata; Mammalia; Primates; Hominidae
Source: Rfam by way of RNAcentral
GCUGGGCACAGUGGCUUAUGCCUGUAAUCCCAGCAAUUUGGGAGGCUGAGGUGGGCGGAUCACCUGAGGUCAGGAGUUUGAGACCAGCCUGACCAACAUGGAGAAACCCCAUCUCUA